AUACAUGCAGUCGAGCGAAGAUUUAAAAGCUUGCUUUUGAAUCUUAGCGGCGGACGGGUGAGUAACACGUGGGCAACCUGCCUGUAAGACUGGGAUAACUUCGGGAAACCGGAGCUAAUACCGGAUAAUGCUUCUUCUCACAUGAGAGGAAGCUGAAAGAUGGCUUCGGCUAUCACUUACAGAUGGGCCCGCGGCGCAUUAGCUAGUUGGUGAGGUAACGGCUCACCAAGGCGACGAUGCGUAGCCGACCUGAGAGGGUGAUCGGCCACACUGGGACUGAGACACGGCCCAGACUCCUACGGGAGGCAGCAGUAGGGAAUCUUCCGCAAUGGACGAAAGUCUGACGGAGCAACGCCGCGUGAGUGAUGAAGGUUUUCGGAUCGUAAAACUCUGUUGUUAGGGAAGAACAAGUACCGUUCGAAUAGGGCGGUACCUUGACGGUACCUAACCAGAAAGCCACGGCUAACUACGUGCCAGCAGCCGCGGUAAUACGUACGUGGCAAGCGUUGUCCGGAAUUAUUGGGCGUAAAGCGCGCGCAGGUGGUCUCUUAAGUCUGAUGUGAAAGCCCCCGGCUCAACCGGGGAGGGUCAUUGGAAACUGGGAGACUUGAGUGCAGAGAGAAGAGU
Molecule: ribosomal RNA, 627 nt
Filed under: Bacillus sp. (in: firmicutes)
Lineage: Bacteria; Bacillati; Bacillota; Bacilli; Caryophanales; Bacillaceae
Description: bacterial SSU rRNA
Rfam family: Bacterial small subunit ribosomal RNA
Source: RNAcentral